AGAGUUUGAUCAUGGCUCAGGAUGAACGCUAGCGGCAGGCUUAACACAUGCAAGUCGAGGGGUAUAGGUUUUCGGACCUAGAGACCGGCGCACGGGUGCGUAACGCGUAUGCAAUCUACCUUUUACAGAGGGAUAGCCCAGAGAAAUUUGGAUUAAUACCUCAUAGCAUUGCAGAAUGGCAUCAUUCAGCAAUUAAAGUCACAACGGUAAAAGAUGAGCAUGCGUCCCAUUAGCUUGUUGGUAAGGUAACGGCUUACCAAGGCAACGAUGGGUAGGGGUCCUGAGAGGGAGAUCCCCCACACUGGUACUGAGACACGGACCAGACUCCUACGGGAGGCAGCAGUGAGGAAUAUUGGUCAAUGGGCGCAAGCCUGAACCAGCCAUGCCGCGUGCAGGAUGAAGCAUCUAUGGUGUGUAAACUGCUUUUGUACGAGAAGAAACACUCCUACGUGUAGGAGCUUGACGGUAUCGUAAGAAUAAGGACCGGCUAACUCCGUGCCAGCAGCCGCGGUAAUACGGAGGGUCCAAGCGUUAUCCGGAAUCAUUGGGUUUAAAGGGUCCGUAGGCGGUUUUGUAAGUCAGUGGUGAAAGCCCAUCGCUCAACGGUGGAACGGCCAUUGAUACUGCAAGACUUGAAUUAUUGUGAAGUAACUAGAAUAUGUAGUGUAGCGGUGAAAUGCUUAGAGAUUACAUGGAAUACCAAUUGCGAAGGCAGGUUACUAACAAUAUAUUGACGCUGAUGGACGAAAGCGUGGGUAGCGAACAGGAUUAGAUACCCUAGUAGUCC
RNAcentral lists this ribosomal RNA (787 nucleotides) under uncultured bacterium. Its description in RNAcentral is "bacterial SSU rRNA". It matches the Rfam family "Bacterial small subunit ribosomal RNA", at positions 8 to 796 of the family's 1533-position model. The record is from RNAcentral.